RNAcentral lists this ribosomal RNA (697 nucleotides) under uncultured bacterium. Its description in RNAcentral is "bacterial SSU rRNA". It matches the Rfam family "Bacterial small subunit ribosomal RNA", at positions 8 to 680 of the family's 1533-position model. The record is from RNAcentral.
AGGGUUUGAUCAUGGCUCAGAACGAACGCUGGCGGCGUGCCUAACACAUGCAAGUCGUGCGAGAAAGUUCCCUUCGGGGAGCGAGUAGAGCGGCGCACGGGUGAGUAACACGUAGGUAACCUGCCCCAAAGUUCGGGAUAACCAGCCGAAAGGCUGGCUAAUACCGAAUAAGACCACGCCCACUUCGGUGGCAGUGGUCAAAGACGGCCUCUUCUUGAAAGCUGUCGCUAUGGGAUGGGCCUGCGCACCAUUAGCUUGUUGGUGGGGUAACGGCCCACCAAGGCUGUGAUGGUUAGCUGGUCUGAGAGGAUGAUCAGCCACACUGGGACUGAGACACGGCCCAGACUCCUACGGGAGGCAGCAGUGGGGAAUAUUGCGCAAUGGGGGAAACCCUGACGCAGCGACGCCGCGUGAGUGAUGAAGGCCUUCGGGUCGUAAAGCUCUGUCGUAGGGGAAGAAAUGCCACGGGCUAAUACUCCGUGGAUAUGACGGUACCCUGCAAGAAAGCACCGGCUAACUCCGUGCCAGCAGCCGCGGUAAUACGGAGGGUGCAAGCGUUGUUCGGAAUUACUGGGCGUAAAGCGCGUGUAGGCGGUCGAUUAAGUCUGGUGUGAAAGCCCGGGGCUCACCCCCGGAAGUGCGCUGGAAACUGGUCAACUGGAGUAUGGGAGAGGGAAGCGGAAUUCCUGGUGUAGCG